CAACUGAGCCACCCAGGCACACCAAACUAUUUAACGAAAUCAAAUCCAAAGGCUCAAUCUGAGUCCCAGCUCACAAUUUGUGUUCUAUUGUCAUGCUAAAGCAGUAGGAGUCAACAAUAUGUAUGGUUUAAAACUCAUUAAUUAAAUACUUGGCAAUAAGAAAGAAUGAAAUCAUGCCAUUUUCAGCAACAUGGAUGGAACUGGAAGACGAAGCAUUCCACGUUUUCCCUCAAAGCUCACUUUCCUCUUGGGCAAAACAGAGGCUUGCAAGUCUUUAUUCAGACUGAGAACAAAAACCAAGAACCAAGAUACUCAACACAUUUGCAGCAAGCAAUUGCUCUAAGGUUGAGAGCACCUUCCAAAGACAGGAGACAAAACCAAAGUCUAGGAUUCAGGCCAAGAGACAGGCAAAAGAGAAGCCGCCACAGGGAUCAGGAACACUAGACAACACAGAGGAUUGUGAUGAAAUCAAAGCUGGGACAGGAAUUCUGCCUCCUUAUAUGGAAGGCCUGGCCAUUAACUUGACGGAGGUUGUGAUAGAGACUGCCUAUGUGCCUGUCCAUCUUAGGCCCUCUCCUUGGGCUAUGUAGAAAGACUACAUUUCUCAGGCCCUCUGACAGUGAGUGGCAAAUAUAGAACCUUCUUCGAAUGUU
This is a long non-coding RNA of Hyaena hyaena (striped hyena), 653 nucleotides long. RefSeq lists it as uncharacterized. NCBI's taxonomy places the organism in Eukaryota, Metazoa, Chordata, Mammalia, Carnivora, Hyaenidae. The record is from RefSeq and is a predicted model, not a curated record. The transcript is spliced from 3 exons.